CAAACUUCUAGCGGCAAAACCUACACAAUGGAGGGAGACCUAUCAGAUACUGAAAGACUUUGAAUUAUACCACGAGUUGCUCACGAUAUUUUCAAUCAAACAGAAUCUUUUGAAGACUCAAUAAAAUUCGAAAUAAAGAUUUCGUUUUAUGAAAUUUAUUUGGAGAAAAUAUUUGACUUAUUAAGUGAUUCACAGAAGGAAAGCUUAUUUGUAUAUGAAGACAAAAAGCGUAUUCCCUUCAUUAGAGUAAGUAAUUGGUCUAAUUUUUUUUUAACUUUAAGUUUUUAAAAAAAUCAUGUCUAUUCCAAAAUCUUUAAAAUUUAUACUUG
Parasteatoda tepidariorum (common house spider) is the source of this 329-nucleotide long non-coding RNA. NCBI's taxonomy places the organism in Eukaryota, Metazoa, Arthropoda, Arachnida, Araneae, Theridiidae. The record is from RefSeq and is a predicted model, not a curated record.